AUACUUAUUAUUAAUCAAAACACC
Molecule: small RNA, 24 nt
Filed under: Arabidopsis thaliana (thale cress)
Lineage: Eukaryota; Viridiplantae; Streptophyta; Magnoliopsida; Brassicales; Brassicaceae
Description: ATSL194690
Source: RNAcentral